This 1026-nucleotide ribosomal RNA is filed under the name Barriopsis iraniana. RNAcentral describes it as "SSU rRNA". It matches the Rfam family "Eukaryotic small subunit ribosomal RNA", at positions 72 to 1106 of the family's 1831-position model. The record is from RNAcentral. Lineage: Eukaryota; Fungi; Ascomycota; Dothideomycetes; Botryosphaeriales; Botryosphaeriaceae.
AUCUAUACUGUGAAACUGCGAAUGGCUCAUUAAAUCAGUUAUCGUUUAUUUGAUAGUACCUUACUACAUGGAUAACCGUGGUAAUUCUAGAGCUAAUACAUGCUAAAAACCCCAACUUCGGAAGGGGUGUAUUUAUUAGAUAAAAAACCAAUGCCCUUCGGGGCUCCUUGGUGAAUCAUGAUAACUUAACGAAUCGCAUGGCCUUGCGCCGGCGAUGGUUCAUUCAAAUUUCUGCCCUAUCAACUUUCGAUGGUAGGAUAGUGGCCUACCAUGGUAUCAACGGGUAACGGGGAAUUAGGGUUCUAUUCCGGAGAGGGAGCCUGAGAAACGGCUACCACAUCCAAGGAAGGCAGCAGGCGCGCAAAUUACCCAAUCCCGACACGGGGAGGUAGUGACAAUAAAUACUGAUACAGGGCUCUUUUGGGUCUUGUAAUUGGAAUGAGUACAAUUUAAAUACCUUAACGAGGAACAAUUGGAGGGCAAGUCUGGUGCCAGCAGCCGCGGUAAUUCCAGCUCCAAUAGCGUAUAUUAAAGUUGUUGCAGUUAAAAAGCUCGUAGUUGAACCUUGGGCCUGGCUGGCCGGUCUGCCUCACCGCAUGUACUGGUUCGGCCGGGCCUUUCCUCCUGGGGAUCCGCAUGCCCUUCACUGGGUGUGUUGGGGAACCAGGACUUUUACUUUGAAAAAAUUAGAGUGUUCAAAGCAGGCCUUUGCUCGAAUACAUUAGCAUGGAAUAAUAGAAUAGGACGUGCGGUCCUAUUUUGUUGGUUUCUAGGACCGCCGUAAUGAUUAAUAGGGAUAGUCGGGGGCAUCAGUAUUCAGUUGUCAGAGGUGAAAUUCUUGGAUUUACUGAAGACUAACUACUGCGAAAGCAUUUGCCAAGGAUGUUUUCAUUAAUCAGUGAACGAAAGUUAGGGGAUCGAAGACGAUCAGAUACCGUCGUAGUCUUAACCGUAAACUAUGCCGACUAGGGAUCGGGCGAUGUUAUUCUUUUGACUCGCUCGGCACCUUACGAGAAAUCAAAGUCU